Molecule: ribosomal RNA, 472 nt
Filed under: uncultured bacterium
Lineage: Bacteria
Description: bacterial SSU rRNA
Rfam family: Bacterial small subunit ribosomal RNA
Source: RNAcentral
GACGAACGCUGGCGGCGUGCUUAACACAUGCAAGUCGAGCGAUGAAGUUUCUUCGGAAAUGGAUUAGCGGCGAACGGGUGAGGAACACGUGAAGAAUCUGCCCUCCACUUUGGGAUAACACCGGGAAACCGGUGCUAAUACCGAAUAUUGAAACAUAAGUGGCAUCACUGAGUUUUGAAAGAAUUUCGGUGGAGGAUGACUUCGCGGCCUAUCAGCUAGUUGGUGAGGUAAUGGCUCACCAAGGCAACGACGGGUAGCCGGCCUGAGAGGGCGACCGGCCACACUGGGACUGAGACACGGCCCAGACUCCUACGGGAGGCAGCAGUGGGGAAUAUUGGGCAAUGGAGGAAACUCUGACCCAGCGACGCCGCGUGCGGGAUGAAGGCCUUCGGUGUAACCGCUUCAGUAGGAAGAAGCGAAAGUGACGGUACCUACAAAAGAAGCACCGGCUAACUAUAGUGCCAGCAGCCGC